RNAcentral lists this long non-coding RNA (283 nucleotides) under Lathyrus oleraceus (garden pea). Its description in RNAcentral is "Pisum sativum (pea) long non-coding RNA (PSAT_LNC018098)". The record is from RNAcentral. Lineage: Eukaryota; Viridiplantae; Streptophyta; Magnoliopsida; Fabales; Fabaceae.
AGUUCAAUUUAUGCAUAAGUUAGGAAAUGUGGUUAUUUUAGUAUUUUUUUUAAAAAUAAUUAUUUAAGAAUUUAAUUUGAAAAAUAUGAUUAUUUAAAAAAAAUUCUAAAAUACUUGUUAUAUUUUAAAUAACUGUUUUAUGAAAUUCAGUUUUGAAAAUUAAAAAAAAAUAAAAAUUAAGUUGAAACAAACAGGCCAAUACAUAGCUCUCUGUAAUCUAAUGGGACAUGCAGAGUAUUGAUACUAUUUCUUUGGUCUUGACUGGUAAGAUGAUAGGUUGCAA